AAAACAGGGGAGCUCAUAGAUUGGGCUGAGAGGAAGGAAACACCUUCGACCCUUAUACCUGAUUUGGAUAAUGCCAACGUAGGAACCAU
This 89-nucleotide non-coding RNA is filed under the name uncultured Anaerotignum sp. RNAcentral describes it as "TPP riboswitch (THI element)". The stretch from base 6 to 85 matches the Rfam family "TPP riboswitch aptamer (THI element)", at positions 11 to 88 of the family's 105-position model. From Rfam's summary of the family: Vitamin B(1) in its active form thiamin pyrophosphate (TPP) is an essential coenzyme that is synthesised by coupling of pyrimidine and thiazole moieties in bacteria. The previously detected thiamin-regulatory element, thi box was extended, resulting in a new, highly conserved RNA secondary structure, the THI element, which is widely distributed in eubacteria and also occurs in some archaea. The record is from RNAcentral. Lineage: Bacteria; Bacillati; Bacillota; Clostridia; Lachnospirales; Anaerotignaceae.